UUUUUAAUAAAUUUUUGCUCCACGCGAGAAACAUGACGCACGUGCGCGGUAUUUAUUAAACAAUGUUUCUCAUUUUUUACGUUUGCGGUAAGUUAUAGCUUGCGGCGCAGUACUCACGCGUCUAGGGGCGGCGUUGAGGUGGAAAAGGUACCGCGUUGUGAAAGGGGUCGAAACCGCGGUACAACUCGUGUUGGUGCGGUAGAGAGGGAAGGGUGGAAACGGUGGAAAACCCGUCUUUGUUGUUGAGCGGGAGAGUACGUGGUAACGCGUGGGUAUCCGUUAUUAGGAGCGGUGGAAAAGAAUGUACGGAGGUGUUUAUGGUGGAGCUGGGAGGGGCGAGAAUAAGGGACGAAGGCGGGAGUAACAUGUCUGAUGCGAUCAUACCAGCACUAAAGCACCGGAUCCCAUCAGAACUCCGAAGUUAAGCGUGCUUGGGCGAGAGUAGUACUAGGAUGGGUGACCUCCGAAGUUAAGCGUGCUUGGGCGAGAGUAGUGCUAGGAUGGGUGACCUCCUGGGAAGUCCUCGUGUUGCAUUCCC
RNAcentral lists this ribosomal RNA (538 nucleotides) under Hordeum capense. The record is from RNAcentral. Lineage: Eukaryota; Viridiplantae; Streptophyta; Magnoliopsida; Poales; Poaceae.